UACGUAGGGGGCAAGCGUUGUCCGGAAUUACUGGGCGUAAAGCGCACGUAGGCGGCUUUCUAAGUCGGGGGUGAAAUCCUGGAGCUCAACUCCAGAACUGCCUUCGAUACUGGAAAGCUCGAGUCCGGGAGAGGUGAGUGGAACUGCGAGUGUAGAGGUGAAAUUCGUAGAUAUUCGCAAGAACACCAGUGGCGAAGGCGGCUCACUGGCCCGGUACUGACGCUGAGGUGCGAAAGCGUGGGGAGCAAACAGG
Molecule: ribosomal RNA, 253 nt
Filed under: uncultured bacterium
Lineage: Bacteria
Description: partial 16S ribosomal RNA
Rfam family: Bacterial small subunit ribosomal RNA
Source: RNAcentral